Molecule: ribosomal RNA, 253 nt
Filed under: uncultured bacterium
Lineage: Bacteria
Description: partial 16S ribosomal RNA
Rfam family: Bacterial small subunit ribosomal RNA
Source: RNAcentral
UACGAAGGGUGCUAGCGUUGUUCGGAAUGACUGGGCGUAAAGGGCGCGUAGGUGGUCUUAAACGUCUGAUGUGAAAUCCCUGGGCUUAACCUAGGAACAGCAUUAGAUACGGUAAGGCUUGAGUGUGAGAGGGGAAAGUGGAAUUGCAGGUGGAGAGGUGAAAUUCGUAGAUAUCUGCAGGAACACCGGUGGCGAAGGCGACUUUCUGGCUCACAACUGACACUGAGGCGCGAAAGCGUGGGGAGCAAACAGG